This 94-nucleotide ribosomal RNA is filed under the name Oscillospiraceae bacterium. RNAcentral describes it as "partial 16S ribosomal RNA". It matches the Rfam family "Bacterial small subunit ribosomal RNA", at positions 1 to 89 of the family's 1533-position model. Lineage: Bacteria; Bacillati; Bacillota; Clostridia; Eubacteriales; Oscillospiraceae. The record is from RNAcentral.
UUUAUUGAGAGUUUGAUCCUGGCUCAGGACGAACGCUGGCGGCGUGCCUAACACAUGCAAGUCGAACGGUGUGACGCAAAGCACAGAGUGCUUU